UACGGAGGGUGCAAGCGUUAUCCGGAUUCAUUGGGUUUAAAGGGUCCGUAGGCGGAUCUUUAAGUCAGUGGUGAAAGCCUGCAGCUCAACUGCAGAACUGCCAUUGAUACUGGAGAUCUUGAGUGUAUUUGAAGUGGGCGGAAUGUGUCAUGUAGCGGUGAAAUGCAUAGAUAUGACACAGAACACCGAUUGCGAAGGCAGCUCACUAAACUACAACUGACGCUGAGGGACGAAAGCGUGGGGAGCGAACAGG
Molecule: ribosomal RNA, 253 nt
Filed under: uncultured bacterium
Lineage: Bacteria
Description: partial 16S ribosomal RNA
Rfam family: Bacterial small subunit ribosomal RNA
Source: RNAcentral